UUAAAUUAUUAAAUAAAAUAAAUUAAUUUUAUAUCUUUUUAAUUUUAUAUGUUAAUAUAUAUAUUAGAAAUAUUUUCAUUAAAAAUAAAUAUAUUAUAUAUUAUUUACUAAUUUUUAUAAUAAUUUUAAAUAGCAUAUUCAUACUUCUCUACCAAUCAUACUAUUAACCAGUUUAGCAAAAGCAUAUAGCUCCUGCAGGAUACUGCUUCAUACUGCUACUGGUAACGAUAAUGCUAUACCAAUCGGCCUUAGAGAAUAAAGAGUCGCUUAUAAAUAUUGAAAGAACUGAAUUCUUGAAUAGAGUCGAAUGAUUGGUUACUACUCUCGAAUCCACCACAACAGUUUCAUCAAACUCUGGCCCAAUUGAAAAGCUACUAAUCUUACCACACAAACCCAUGAUAGGCCUAGUAAUUACACAACCAAAACAAUAUCACCGCCGGUUAUAUAUAUUCCCUGAUUAGUACACAACCACCCACUCCUCCACAAAUCAGCCCCCUUUCCCACGUCUCAACUUUGAGAUCCUUCUGUGAGAUUGACAUCCCUAACGACUCUCUUGCACAAUGAAUACAAUAUUACAGAUAG
This 582-nucleotide long non-coding RNA is filed under the name Brassica napus (rape). Its description in RNAcentral is "long non-coding RNA (BNAP_LNC014253)". Lineage: Eukaryota; Viridiplantae; Streptophyta; Magnoliopsida; Brassicales; Brassicaceae. The record is from RNAcentral.